GAUGAAGAAUGUAGCGAAAUGCGAUAAGUAAUGUGAAUUGCAGAAUUCAGUGAAUCAUCGAAUCUUUGAACGCACAUUGCGCCCCCCAGUAUUCUGGCGGGCAUGCCUGUUCGAGCGUCAUUUCAACCAUCAAGCCCUGCUUGUGUUGGGGUCCUGCGGCUGCCCGCAGGCCCUGAAAACCAGUGGCGGGCUCGCUAGUCACACCGAGCGCAGUAGCACAUCUCGCUCAGGGCGUGCGGCGGGCUCCAGCCGUUAAAGCACCCACCUUUCGCAAGGUUGACCUCGGAUCAGGUAGGAAUACCCGCUGAACUUAAGCAUAUCAAUAAGCGGAGGA
This 334-nucleotide unclassified non-coding RNA is filed under the name soil metagenome. RNAcentral's name for it is "partial contains 5.8S ribosomal RNA, internal transcribed spacer 2, and large subunit ribosomal RNA". The stretch from base 1 to 120 matches the Rfam family "5.8S ribosomal RNA", at positions 35 to 154 of the family's 154-position model. The record is from RNAcentral.